UCCUAAGGCGAUAGCACGUUGAAUGCACCAGUUCCUGAUGGAUCACUGAUGUUAAUCAACGUUGUACGUGGUUGGUAUCUGGAUGGGUGACUAUCUGGGCAAUGCUUGCUGCUUGAUUGU
Molecule: ribosomal RNA, 120 nt
Filed under: Diaphorina citri (Asian citrus psyllid)
Lineage: Eukaryota; Metazoa; Arthropoda; Insecta; Hemiptera; Psyllidae
Source: RNAcentral